RNAcentral lists this ribosomal RNA (266 nucleotides) under uncultured bacterium. Its description in RNAcentral is "partial 16S ribosomal RNA". It matches the Rfam family "Bacterial small subunit ribosomal RNA", at positions 334 to 617 of the family's 1533-position model. The record is from RNAcentral.
ACGCCCUACGGGACGCAGCAGUGGGGAAUAUUGCACAAUGGGGGAAACCCUGAUGCAGCGACGCCGCGUGAGUGAAGAAGUAUUUCGGUAUGUAAAGCUCUAUCAGCAGGGAAGAUAAUGACGGUACCUGACUAAGAAGCCCCGGCUAACUACGUGCCAGCAGCCGCGGUAAUACGUAGGGGGCAAGCGUUAUCCGGAUUUACUGGGUGUAAAGGGAGCGUAGGUGGCCGGGCAAGUCAGAUGUGAAAACCAGGGGCUCAACUCCG